AACGAACGCUGGCGGCAUGCCUAACACAUGCAAGUCGAACGAGACCUUCGGGUCUAGUGGCGCACGGGUGCGUAACGCGUGGGAAGCUGCACUUAGGUACGGAAUACCUCUCCGAAAGGGGUGCUAAUACCGGAUAAUGUCUUCGGACCAAAGAUUUAUCGCCUUUGGAUGGGCCCGCGUUGGAUUAGCUUGUUGGUAGGGUAAUAGCCUACCAAGGCGAGGAUCCAUAGCUGGUCUGAGAGGAGGAUCAGCCACACUGGGACUAAGACACGGCCCAGACUCCUACGGGAGGCAGCAGUGGGGAAUAUUGGACAAUGGGGGAAAGCCUGAUCCAGCAAUGCCGGGUAAGUGAUGAAGGCCUUAGGGAAGUAAAGCUCUUUUACCCGGGAUGAUAAUGACGGUACCGGGAGAAUAAGCACCGGCUAACUCCGUG
Molecule: ribosomal RNA, 433 nt
Filed under: uncultured bacterium
Lineage: Bacteria
Description: partial 16S ribosomal RNA
Rfam family: Bacterial small subunit ribosomal RNA
Source: RNAcentral